UCUGGGCCUGCCGUUCGGCCUGCCCCCGCUCGCCGUGCCCGCGCCGUCCGGCCUGGAGCGCGGUGUCGUCC
This 71-nucleotide transfer RNA is filed under the name Streptomyces mutabilis. The record is from RNAcentral. Lineage: Bacteria; Bacillati; Actinomycetota; Actinomycetes; Kitasatosporales; Streptomycetaceae.